UCUCUGCCGCGGCACAAAGUUGCAGCACCAUUCUUAGUGGGUAGCCUUAUUCGCAGUAGUUCCCGUUGUUGUCCGUAGCAUAAUUUUAGUUGUUUCUUUCAGUAGAUUGAACUAUAGGAACACCCCUUCACAUCCAUUUCCUAGUUGGACCAUUUCAACUCCACCUUCACUAGCAGCACGAUGGUAGAAGUUCAUAUCCUAUUA
This 204-nucleotide long non-coding RNA is filed under the name Brachypodium distachyon (stiff brome). RNAcentral describes it as "long non-coding RNA (BDIS_LNC003012)". The record is from RNAcentral. Lineage: Eukaryota; Viridiplantae; Streptophyta; Magnoliopsida; Poales; Poaceae.